UAAAUUUGAAUUUAGUUUAAGUUUAAGUAAAAUAUUUAUUCUGCAUAAAAAUAUAAGUAUAUUUAUUAAUAAAAUUAAAAUUUAGCAGAAAUUUUUAAUAAAAAUAAGAAAUUAUUUAUUAGUUAAAAAUUUUUAGAUUAGUUAAAAUUAGUGCCAGCUUCUGCGGUUAAACUAUAAAUCUAUAUUAAAUACAAAUAACUUUAAAUAAAUAUUUAUUUUGUAAAACUUAUUUUUUAUAAUGUAUAAAUAAUAAUUAUAAAUUUUACAUUUUAUAUUAAUUUUAAAAUUAUUGUAAUAAAAUAGGAUUAGAUACCCUAGUAUUGAUAAUUUAUUAUAAAAGUUUGUUAUUAUCUAAUAAUAUAGUAAAACAAAAAAUUUUGGCGGUGUUUAAAUAAAUAGAGAAGUUUGUAAUUUAAUCGAUAAUCCUCGUUUGAUCUUACCUUUAUUAAAUUUAUUUACAAUCAUUUUAAAUCAUUUUUUAAAAGAUGGUUAAAAAAUUAUAUAGAUAAUAAUUUAGAUAAUUGUAUAGUAAUAUAAAGGUUUUUAUGAACUGCAAUAAAUAAAAAUUUUAUAAAAUAAAUAAUUUUAAUUAAUCAAGAGAAUUUAUAAUUAAAAAAAAAUUAAUAUUUUUUUUUGAAAUAAUAAUAAAACAUGCACAAAUCGCCCGUCGCUCUCUUUAUAAAAGAGAUAAGUCGUAACAAAGUAAAAUUAUCGGAAGAUAAUUUUAGA
Molecule: ribosomal RNA, 729 nt
Filed under: Bathynella cf. rufa JHS-2017
Lineage: Eukaryota; Metazoa; Arthropoda; Malacostraca; Bathynellacea; Bathynellidae
Description: 12S ribosomal RNA
Source: RNAcentral